CUGAGCAAUCACGAGCCCAGCCUUGGUCGAGAGACCCGGGUAAUCUUGUAACCUGCGUCGUGAUGGGGCUAGACUCUUGCAAUUAUUAGUCUUCAACGAGGAAUGCCUAGUAAGCGCGAGUCAUCAGCUCGCGUUGAUUACGUCCCUGCCCUUUGUACACACCGCCCGUCGCUCCUACCGAUUGGAUGUGCUGGUGAAGCCCUAGGACUGGCGGCCUUUGGUGGUUCUCCGCCGACGGUCGCCGGGAAUUCGGUUAAACCCUCCCAUCUAGAGGAAGGAGAAGUCGUAACAAGGUCUCCGUAGGUGAACCUGCGGAGGGAUCAUUGAAUCUAUCGUAUUGUAUACCCGCUAACCCAGACGUUGUGUUCCCUCGGUGCGGGCCCCUUGUGGGACCGCCCGAGCGCUUGUUCCUGGCCCAGCCACUGGCCGACCCGUUUGCGGUCGGUGAAGCCUGGGCAAAGGUCUUGCGGUGUGGGACCCUGCCUCUCCCCAGGGAGAGGGGGGCUGGCCUUCACGGCUGGCCUCGCCCGCUGGACAAAAUACCCACUCUAACCACACACCAAACAAAGCUGAAGCUUUGAGGAAGCCUCACGGCCGACUCACAAACCUAGACAACUCUCAACAACGGAUAUCUUGGCUCCCGCAACGAUGAAGAACGCAGCGAAAUGCGAUACUUAAUGUGAAUUGCAGAAUUCCGUGAAUCAUCGAGUCUUUGAACGCAUAUUGCGCCCGAGGCUUCGGUCAAGGGCAUGUCUGCCUCAGCGUCGGUUGACCCCUCUCGUCCACUUCCCUCGUGGAAGCAGACGGACCUGGCAGUCCCGCUGGCGACAGCGGGUCUGCUGCAGAACAGACGACGAGCCAGCCGCAGCGCCGCUCGAUUGGUA
This 884-nucleotide ribosomal RNA is filed under the name Chloroidium saccharophilum. Its description in RNAcentral is "bacterial SSU rRNA". The stretch from base 1 to 326 matches the Rfam family "Eukaryotic small subunit ribosomal RNA", at positions 1507 to 1831 of the family's 1831-position model. Lineage: Eukaryota; Viridiplantae; Chlorophyta; Trebouxiophyceae; Watanabeales; Watanabeaceae. The record is from RNAcentral.